This 270-nucleotide ribosomal RNA is filed under the name uncultured archaeon. RNAcentral's name for it is "partial 16S ribosomal RNA". It matches the Rfam family "Archaeal small subunit ribosomal RNA", at positions 477 to 747 of the family's 1478-position model. The record is from RNAcentral.
CAGCACCUCAAGUGGUCAGGAGGAUUAUUGGGCCUAAAGCAUCCGUAGCCUGUUCUAUAAGUUUCCGGUUAAAUCCAUUAGCUCAACUAAUGGGCUGCCGAAAAUACUGUGGAACUAGGGAGUGGGAGAGGUAGACGGUACUCGGUAGGAAGGGGUAAAAUCCUUUGAUCUAUUGAUGACCACCUGUGGCGAAGGCGGUCUACCAGAACACGUUCGACGGUGAGGGAUGAAAGCUGGGGGAGCAAACCGGAUUAGAUACCCGAGUAGUCC